GCGGUCGUAGCUCAGUUGGUAGAGCACCGGAUUGUGAUUCCGGCUGUCGCGGGUUCAAGCCCCGUCGAUCGCCCCA
Molecule: transfer RNA, 76 nt
Filed under: Bdellovibrionales bacterium
Lineage: Bacteria; Pseudomonadati; Bdellovibrionota; Bdellovibrionia; Bdellovibrionales
Description: tRNA-His
Rfam family: tRNA
About the family: Transfer RNA (tRNA) molecules are approximately 80 nucleotides in length. Their secondary structure includes four short double-helical elements and three loops (D, anti-codon, and T loops). Further hydrogen bonds mediate the characteristic L-shaped molecular structure. tRNAs have two regions of fundamental functional importance: the anti-codon, which is responsible for specific mRNA codon recognition, and the 3' end, to which the tRNAs corresponding amino acid is attached (by aminoacyl-tRNA synthetases). tRNAs cope with the degeneracy of the genetic code in two manners: having more than one tRNA (with a specific anti-codon) for a particular amino acid; and 'wobble' base-pairing, i.e. permitting non-standard base-pairing at the 3rd anti-codon position.
Source: RNAcentral